CCCUAAGCUCAGUUGGUUUAGAGCAUCACGUCGACAACGUGAGGGUCAUUGGUUCGAGUCCAAUACGUUCCA
Molecule: transfer RNA, 72 nt
Filed under: Ferruginibacter sp.
Lineage: Bacteria; Pseudomonadati; Bacteroidota; Chitinophagia; Chitinophagales; Chitinophagaceae
Description: tRNA-Val
Rfam family: tRNA (bases 6-64)
About the family: Transfer RNA (tRNA) molecules are approximately 80 nucleotides in length.
Source: RNAcentral